UCUUCCAUUUUCAACGUUGUCAAGGAUCUCCUUAUGUAUGUUUGUGCUGCGAAACCUUUUUUCGCGAACGAGGUUGAUAGGAAGUUCCACAUUUCCUUAGCAGUAUUUAUGUCACGUACGUAUUCCAGCAGGUACAUCCGCUGUUCUCACCUCCUCCACACCGUGAACCGACAACUGCGUUUCAACCCGGAACAUCCUUCUCCAGCAACCUGAAUGAUUCCUACUUUUGACGGUUCCAGUUCAGGUUCCAAUGGCCAGACGCAACUGGGCCCAUAACCUGUUGAAAAAAGACGUCUGUUCGAUACAAAGUCUGGUUUAUUACUAACGGGAAAAAUUACAUUCUUGACUACAA
Long non-coding RNA from Toxorhynchites rutilus septentrionalis, 352 nucleotides. RefSeq lists it as uncharacterized. The transcript is spliced from 3 exons. NCBI's taxonomy places the organism in Eukaryota, Metazoa, Arthropoda, Insecta, Diptera, Culicidae. The record is from RefSeq and is a predicted model, not a curated record.